GGAAGUAAAAGUCGUAACAAGGUUUCCGUAGGUGAACCUGCGGAAGGAUCAUUACAGUAGUCACCCGGGUUGCCGCAAGGCCUCUCGGGUAACCUACCACCCUUUGUUUAUUACACUUUGUUGCUUUGGCAGGCCUGCCUUCGGGCUGCUGGCUCCGGCCGGCGAGCGCUUGCCAGAGGAUCUAAACUCUGUUUGUCUAUACUGUCUGAGUACUAUAUAAUAGUUAAAACUUUCAACAACGGAUCUCUUGGUUCUGGCAUCGAUGAAGAACGCAGCGAAAUGCGAUAAGUAAUGUGAAUUGCAGAAUUCAGUGAAUCAUCGAAUCUUUGAACGCACAUUGCGCCCCCUGGUAUUCCGGGGGGCAUGCCUGUCCGAGCGUCAUUACAACCCUCAAGCUCUGCUUGGUGUUGGGCCCCGCCGCCCCGGCGGGCCCUAAAGUCAGUGGCGGUGGCCAUCCGGCUCCGAGCGUAGUAAUUCUUCUCGCUCUGGAGGUCCGGUUGUGUGCUUGCCAUCAACCCCCAAUUUUUUUCAGGUUGACCUCGGAUCAGGUAGGGAUACCCGCUGAACUUAAGCAUAUCAAUAAGCGGAGGA
RNAcentral lists this ribosomal RNA (591 nucleotides) under uncultured Geomyces. RNAcentral describes it as "eukaryotic LSU rRNA". The stretch from base 228 to 381 matches the Rfam family "5.8S ribosomal RNA". The record is from RNAcentral. Lineage: Eukaryota; Fungi; Ascomycota; Leotiomycetes; Myxotrichaceae.